CAUGUGAAGAUUAAGGCAGAGAUCAGGGUGAUGCAGCAAAAGCCAAGGAACAUCAGACUGCCAGCAAACCACCAGAAGCUAGGAGAAAGGCAUGGAACAGAUUCUCAGCCCUCAGAAGGAACCAACGUGACUGACACCUUGAUCUCGGACUUCCAGCCUUCAGAACUGUGCGCAAACUGAAGUUCCUAGAUAGGAUUCGAACCUACAGUCUCCAGUAGCCAAAGCCCUGCCUCAGCAACCCCGAACUCCAACCCGGGAACCACAGCGCCUGCGCCGAACCAGCAGCCAAUGGCAGCCCGGAGCCCGAGGACCCAGCUCGCAGCCUAUACGUGAUUCCGGAAAACCUCGGUACCCUGGAAGAGCUUGGGGGACACAGGUUCGAGCCCUGGUCUGGGAAGAUCCCACAUACUGCGGAGCAACUAAGCCCAUGUGCCACAACUACUGAGCCUGCACUCUAGAGCCCACGAGCCACAACUACUGAGCCCACGUGCCACAACUACUGAAGCCCACAUGCUCUACAGCCCGUGCUCCGCAACAAGAGAAGCCACUGCAAUGAGAAGCCCAUGCACCGCAACAAAGAGUAGCCCCAGCUCGCUGCAACUAGAGAAAGCCUGCGCGCAGCAACGAAGACCCAACACAGCCUCCCCCCAAAAAAAGUAUAUGUGUACAUUCAAAAAUCCUAAAUACAGUAGAUUUCAGUGUCCUUGCUCUCCUAAUCUCAGUGGAGGUGUAAGACUAUACAAUGAAAUUAAAAAAAAAAAAGAAAGAAACAGUAAGAUAAACUCUGAAGAUAAGUGAGAAGCCCAGGUCACAGGCACUACAGACUUUCCAAGCAAUAGAUUAUAGAUGUUUCCCUUCCUCGGGCAUCCCCAAUGUGAACAAAAAGAGGCAGUCUGUGGGUCUUACGUGGUGAUUAAAAGUGAAGCACACAUUGUAGAGCCUGUCAUGCGUGUGGCUUACGUGUGUUAAAGGAUAAACUGAGGCACAUUUAAAUUUUCAGGAGUUUAUUUGAGCAAACACUGGAAUUGGGCAGUGCUUGGAAGUGGUUAGGAGUGCUCCACGACAGGAGCUCCAGGCAAGGCUUUUAUAGGGCAGAUGUAGAAGCAAAGAGAGAUUAUUUGAUUGGCUAGAGCUGAAGAGGGUGUUUAUUUGGGAAAACCCAGUUGGCUGUUUGUGAUUGGUUUUUCUUAAAUUUCGAUUUCUUGGAUACAAGUGCAUUGACUCUGGCUCAUGUUGGCUGCAAGGCAUCAGAGCCGCCUCAAUCUAAUGGGCUCCUUGUUUAACUACUUGAACAGGUGGUAUUUGAACUUUCCCUUCUUCAUCAGUGGUCCCCGAAUGCACACCUUCAGCAUCAUUCUCUCCCCAGUCUGGACCCCAGGAGAGUCCUCUCCCUAUUCUGUGACACCAUGAGUGUGCACACUACUGUGUGUGAGGCCAGAGGUGUCCCCACCCCAGUGUGUGACCCCAGGGGUAUCCAAACGCCAAUCUGUGUGACCACGGUUGUGUCCAAAUAUCAUUAUGUGUGACCCCAGGAGUGCCCACCCCCCAAGCUGUGUCACACUAGCAGUAUCCACACCCCAGUCCCAGUGAUCAUGAGUGUUCAAACCCCCAUAUGAGUGACCCCAGGAGUGUUGACUCCCCAAUGUGUGUAACUCCACGAAUGUCCAUUCCCCAAUAUGUGUGACCCCCAUGAGAGUCCAAACACCCAUGUGUGUGACCCCAGAGCCACCCACACCACAGCCUGUCACCUCAGCAGUGUCUGCUCCCCAGUCUAUACCGAGGAGUGUCCAUCAACUACUCUGUGUGACCGCAGCAGUGUCCACACCUCAGUCUCUAGCCCCAGGGGUGCCGACUCAUCAUUUCUUUGACCACAAGAAUGUCCACAUCCCUUUCACUGAGAUUAUAGUGGUGUCUACAACACAGCCUAUGUGACUGUAGGACUGUCCCCACGUCAGUCACUAUGACCCCAGGAGCGUCCCGUCCUCUGUGGAACACCAUGGAUAUUCAUACCCCAGUCUGUGCAACACAAGGAGUGUCCAGUCCACAACAUGUGUGAUUUCAGGAGUGUCCACUUCCCAGUGUGUUUAACUUCCAGAGUGUCCCAAACUCCCUCUGUGUGACCCUGGGAAUGUUUACUCUCCAGCAUGUGUGACCCUUGGAGUGUUCACGCCUCUGAGUGACCUCACAUCUGUCUACACUCCAGCCUGAGUGACUCCAGGAGUGUCCAAACCCCCAUCUUUGUGGCCCCACAUCUGUCCACACCCACUCUAUGUGACCUCACUGCUGCCCACA
This is a long non-coding RNA of Balaenoptera acutorostrata (minke whale), 2292 nucleotides long. RefSeq lists it as uncharacterized. The record is from RefSeq and is a predicted model, not a curated record. NCBI's taxonomy places the organism in Eukaryota, Metazoa, Chordata, Mammalia, Artiodactyla, Balaenopteridae. The transcript is spliced from 3 exons.